UACGGAAGGCAGCAGUGGGGAAUAUUGCACAAUGGGCGCAAGCCUGAUGCAGCCAUGCCGCGUGUAUGAAGAAGGCCUUCGGGUUGUAAAGUACUUUCAGUCGUGAGGAAGGUGUUAAGGUUAAUAACCUUAGCAAUUGACGUUAGCGACAGAAGAAGCACCGGCUAACUCCGUGCCAGCAGCCGCGGUAAUACGGAGGGUGCGAGCGUUAAUCGGAAUUACUGGGCGUAAAGGGCACGCAGGCGGUUAAUUAAGUUGGAUGUGAAAUCCCCGGGCUUAACCUGGGAAUGGCAUUCAAGACUGGUUAGCUAGAGUCUUGUAGAGGGGGUAGAAUUCCGUGUGUAGCGGUGAAAUGCGUAGAGAUGUGGAGGAAUACCGGUGGCGAAGGCGGCCCCUGGACAAAGACUGACGCUCAUGUGCGAAAGCGUGGGGAGCAAACAGGGAUUAGAUACC
RNAcentral lists this ribosomal RNA (453 nucleotides) under uncultured bacterium. RNAcentral's name for it is "bacterial SSU rRNA". It matches the Rfam family "Bacterial small subunit ribosomal RNA", at positions 340 to 786 of the family's 1533-position model. The record is from RNAcentral.